Molecule: ribosomal RNA, 440 nt
Filed under: uncultured bacterium
Lineage: Bacteria
Description: partial 16S ribosomal RNA
Rfam family: Bacterial small subunit ribosomal RNA
Source: RNAcentral
CCUACGGGAGGCAGCAGUAGGGAAUAUUGCUCAAUGGGGGAAACCCUGAAGCAGCAACGCCGCGUGGGGGAUGAAGGUUUUCGGAUUGUAAACUCCUUUUGUUAGAGAAGAUAGUGACGUUUUCUAACGAAUAAGCACCUGCUAACUCCGGCACAGCAGCCGCGGUAAGACGGAGGGUGCAAGCGUGACUCAGAAUCACGGGUCGUAAAGAUCGCGUAGGCGGUAUGGCAAGUCAGAGGUGAAAUCCUAUGGCUGAACCAGAGAACUGCCUUUGAAACUGUUAUUCUAGAGUAUGUGAGAGGUAGGUGGAAUUCUUGGUGUAGGAGUAAAAUCCGUAGAGAUCAAGAGGAACAGUCGUUGUGAAGGCGACCAGCUAGAACAUAACUGACGCUGAUGCGCGAAAGCGUGGGUAGCAAACAGGAUUAGAUACCCUAGUAGUC